Molecule: non-coding RNA, 182 nt
Organism: Candidatus Burkholderia verschuerenii
Lineage: Bacteria; Pseudomonadati; Pseudomonadota; Betaproteobacteria; Burkholderiales; Burkholderiaceae
Rfam family: 6S / SsrS RNA
About the family: E. coli 6S RNA was the first non coding RNA to be sequenced, but its function was unknown until recently. It consists of 184 nucleotides that fold into an extended hairpin structure with a large single-stranded internal bulge.
Source: Rfam
GGUUCCCUGCCUGGUUCGCCAAGGUCAUAUAUUCCUUGAACCAAUGCUACAUUGGCACGGUUGUGGAACCUUGCAGCACGGGCGCGCGCGUCGCUAGUCCGAUGUACCCGAAGUGCUGCUUACUGCGACCAAUCUUGAACUCAGGUUCAGGAUGCCGGCCUAGCGGCUGUGGCGGGGACCCA